This 497-nucleotide ribosomal RNA is filed under the name uncultured bacterium. RNAcentral describes it as "partial 16S ribosomal RNA". It matches the Rfam family "Bacterial small subunit ribosomal RNA", at positions 28 to 507 of the family's 1533-position model. The record is from RNAcentral.
GAUGAACGCUGGCGGCGUGCCUAAUACAUGCAAGUCGAGCGAACAGACGAGGAGCUUGCUCCUCUGACGUUAGCGGCGGACGGGUGAGUAACACGUGGAUAACCUACCUAUAAGACUGGGAUAACUUCGGGAAACCGGAGCUAAUACCGGAUAAUAUAUUGAACCGCAUGGUUCAAUAGUGAAAGACGGUUUUGCUGUCACUUAUAGAUGGAUCCGCGCCGCAUUAGCUAGUUGGUAAGGUAACGGCUUACCAAGGCAACGAUGCGUAGCCGACCUGAGAGGGUGAUCGGCCACACUGGAACUGAGACACGGUCCAGACUCCUACGGGAGGCAGCAGUAGGGAAUCUUCCGCAAUGGGCGAAAGCUUGACGGAGCAACGCCGCGUGAGUGAUGAAGGUCUUCGGAUCGUAAAACUCUGUUAUUAGGGAAGGACAAAUGUGUAAGUAACUAUGCACGUCUUGACGGUACCUAAUCAGAAGGCCACGGCUAACUACGUG